This 440-nucleotide ribosomal RNA is filed under the name uncultured bacterium. RNAcentral describes it as "partial 16S ribosomal RNA". It matches the Rfam family "Bacterial small subunit ribosomal RNA", at positions 338 to 795 of the family's 1533-position model. The record is from RNAcentral.
CCUACGGGUGGCUGCAGUGGGGAAUAUUGCACAAUGGGGGAAACCCUGAUGCAGCGACGCCGCGUGAGUGAAGAAGUAUUUCGGUAUGUAAAGCUCUAUCAGCAGGGAAGUAAAUGACGGUACCUGAUUCAGAAGCCCCGGCUAACUCCGUGACAGCAGGCGCGGUGCUACGUAGGGAGCAAGGGUUAUCCGGAUUUACUGGGUGUAAAGGGAGCGUAGACGGGAGCGAAAGUCCGAAGUGAAAUGCCGGGGCUUAACCCCGGAACUGCUUUUGAAACUGUGCAGCUAGAGUUCAGGUGAGGUAAGUGGAAUUCCUAGUGUAGCGGUGAAAUGCGUAGAUAUUAGGAGGAACACCAGUGGCGAAGGCGGCUUACUGGACUGUAACUGACGUUGAGGCUCGAAAGCGUGGGGAGCAAACAGGAUUAGAUACCCGUGUAGUC